RNAcentral lists this ribosomal RNA (253 nucleotides) under uncultured bacterium. Its description in RNAcentral is "partial 16S ribosomal RNA". It matches the Rfam family "Bacterial small subunit ribosomal RNA", at positions 524 to 776 of the family's 1533-position model. The record is from RNAcentral.
GACGUACCACCCGAACGUUAUUCGGAUUUACUGGGCUUAAAGAGUCCGUAGGCGGCCAAGUAAGUUGGAUGUGAAAUACCUCGGCCUAACCGAGGGACAGCAUUCAAAACUACUUGGCUCGAGAGAGACAGAGGUGAGCGGAACUGAUGGUGGAGCGGUGAAAUGCGUUGAUAUCAUCAGGAACACCGGUGGCGAAAGCGGCUCACUGGGUCUCUUCUGACGCUCAGGGACGAAAGCUAGGGGAGCGAACGGG